AAUAAAUUAAUUUUUAUUUUUUGUCUUUAAUUUUUGACUCUUCGUUUUAUUUAAAUUUUUUUGUGAUUGAUUUUUUUGUUUUUAUUAGAUGAUAAAUCAUAAAUAGUACUUUACGUGCGACUAAUUAUUUUAUAAUUUUCUAAAAAAAUUUUAAAUAAGACGGAUGGUCAAACGUUGGACACGGAAACAGAAGAAUUCGUUUUUU
This 205-nucleotide microRNA precursor is filed under the name Oryza brachyantha (malo sina). RNAcentral's name for it is "MIR812 microRNA precursor family". It matches the Rfam family "MIR812 microRNA precursor family". Lineage: Eukaryota; Viridiplantae; Streptophyta; Magnoliopsida; Poales; Poaceae. The record is from Rfam by way of RNAcentral.